AGUUUGAUCCUGGCUCAGAACGAACGCUGGCGGCGUGGAUAAGACAUGCAAGUCGAACGGGAGAAUUGCUAGCUUGCUAAUAAUUCUCUAGUGGCGCACGGGUGAGUAACACGUGAGUAACCUGCCUCUUAGUGGGGGAUAGCCCUGGGAAACCGGGAUUAAUACCGCAUACGAUUGAAAGAUCAAAGCAGCAAUGCGCUUGGGGAUGGGCUCGCGGCCUAUUAGUUAGUUGGUGAGGUAACGGCUCACCAAGGCGAUGACGGGUAGCCGGUCUGAGAGGAUGUCCGGCCACACUGGAACUGAGACACGGUCCAGACACCUACGGGUGGCAGCAGUCGAGAAUCAUUCACAAUGGGGGAAACCCUGAUGGUGCGACGCCGCGUGGGGGAAUGAAGGUCUUCGGAUUGUAAACCCCUGUCAUGUGGGAGCAAAUUAAAAAGAUAGUACCACAAGAGGAAGAGACGGCUAACUCUGUGCCAGCCGCCGCGGUAAUAC
RNAcentral lists this ribosomal RNA (495 nucleotides) under uncultured bacterium. Its description in RNAcentral is "bacterial SSU rRNA". It matches the Rfam family "Bacterial small subunit ribosomal RNA", at positions 10 to 526 of the family's 1533-position model. The record is from RNAcentral.